AUCUGGCUCUUCCGGAGUCCGAGUUGUAAUUUGUAGAAGAUGCUUUGGGUUGUGGGUUCGGCCUAAGUUCCUUGGAACAGGACGUCAUAGAGGGUGAGAAUCCCGUAUGUGGCCGAGGCCCGCGCCUAUGUAAAGCUCUUUCAACGAGUCGAGUUGUUUGGGAAUGCAGCUCAAAAUGGGUGGUAAAUUUCAUCUAAAGCUAAAUAUGGGCCAGAGACCGAUAGCGCACAAGUAGAGUGAUCGAAAGAUGAAAAGCACUUUGGAAAGAGAGUUAAACAGUACGUGAAAUUGUUGAAAGGGAAGCGCUUGCAACCAGACUUGGGCGCUGUCGAUCACCCCGAGUUCUCUCGAGUGCACUCGACAGCGCACAGGCCAGCAUCGGUUCGGGUGGCUGGAUAAAGGCCGUAGGAACGUGGCUCCCUUCGGGGAGUGUUAUAGCCUACGGUGCCAUGCAGCCCAGCCGGACCGAGGACCGCGCCUUCGGGCUAGGAGGCUGGCGUAAUGGUUGUAAGCGACCCGUCUUGAAACACGGACCAAGGAGUCUAACAUCUAUGCGAGUGUUUGGGUGGUAAACCCAUACGCGGAAUGAAAGUGAACGUAGGUGAGAAAC
This 610-nucleotide ribosomal RNA is filed under the name Erysiphe alphitoides. RNAcentral describes it as "partial large subunit ribosomal RNA". It matches the Rfam family "Eukaryotic large subunit ribosomal RNA", at positions 120 to 743 of the family's 3401-position model. Lineage: Eukaryota; Fungi; Ascomycota; Leotiomycetes; Helotiales; Erysiphaceae. The record is from RNAcentral.